GUGACUGCGUACCUUUUGUAUAAUGGGUCAGCGACUUAUAUUCUGUAGCAAGGUUAACCGAAUAGGGGAGCCGGAGGGAAACCGAGUCUUAAUUGGGCGUUAAGUUGCAGGGUAUAGACCCGAAACCCGGUGAUCUAGCCAUGGGCAGGUUGAAGGUUGGGUAACACUAACUGGAGGACCGAACCGACUAAUGUUGAAAAAUUAGCGGAUGACCUGUGGCUGGGGGUGAAAGGCCAAUCAAACCGGGAGAUAGCUGGUUCUCCCCGAAAGCUAUUUAGGUAGCGCCUCGUGAAUUCAUCUCCGGGGGUAGAGCACUGUUUCGGCUAGGGGGCCAUCCCGGCUUACCAACCCGAUGCAAACUGCGAAUACCGGAGAAUGUUAUCACGGGAGACACACGGCGGGUGCUAACGUCCGUCGUGAAGAGGGAAACAACCCAGACCGCCAGCUAAGGUCCCAAAGUCAUGGUUAAGUGGGAAACGAUGUGGGAAGGCCCAGACAGCCAGGAUGUUGGCUUAGAAGCAGCCAUCAUUUAAAGAAAGCGUAAUAGCUCACUGGUCGAGUCGGCCUGCGCGGAAGAUGUAACGGGGCUAAACCAUGCACCGAAGCUGCGGCAGCGACGCUUAUGCGUUGUUGGGUAGGGGAGCGUUCUGUAAGCCUGUGAAGGUGUGUCGUGAGGCAUGCUGGAGGUAUCAGAAGUGCGAAUGCUGACAUAAGUAACGAUAAAGCGGGUGAAAAGCCCGCUCGCCGGAAGACCAAGGGUUCCUGUCCAACGUUAAUCGGGGCAGGGUGAGUCGACCCCUAAGGCGAGGCCGAAAGGCGUAGUCGAUGGGAAACGGGUUAAUAUUCCCGUACUUGGUGUUACUGCGAAGGGGGGACGGAGAAGGCUAUGUUGGCCGGGCGACGGUUGUCCCGGUUUAAGCGUGUAGGUGUGUGUUCCAGGUAAAUCCGGUUCACUUUAACACUGAGGCGUGAUGACGAGGCACUACGGUGCUGAAGUAACAAAUGCCCUGCUUCCAGGAAAAGCCUCUAAGCAUCAGGUAACAUCAAAUCGUACCCCAAACCGACACAGGUGGUCAGGUAGAGAAUACCAAGGCGCUUGAGAGAACUCGGGUGAAGGAACUAGGCAAAAUGGUGCCGUAACUUCGGGAGAAGGCACGCUGACACGUAGGUGAAGUGAUUUACUCAUGGAGCUGAAGUCAGUCGAAGAUACCAGCUGGCUGCAACUGUUUAUUAAAAACACAGCACUGUGCAAACACGAAAGUGGACGUAUACGGUGUGACGCCUGCCCGGUGCCGGAAGGUUAAUUGAUGGGGUCAGCGCAAGCGAAGCUCCUGAUCGAAGCCCCGGUAAACGGCGGCCGUAACUAUAACGGUCCUAAGGUAGCGAAAUUCCUUGUCGGGUAAGUUCCGACCUGCACGAAUGGCGUAAUGAUGGCCAGGCUGUCUCCACCCGAGACUCAGUGAAAUUGAACUCGCUGUGAAGAUGCAGUGUACCCGCGGCAAGACGGAAAGACCCCGUGAACCUUUACUAUAGCUUGACACUGAACAUUGAGCCUUGAUGUGUAGGAUAGGUGGGAGGCUUUGAAGUGUGGACGCCAGUCUGCAUGGAGCCGACCUUGAAAUACCACCCUUUAAUGUUUGAUGUUCUAACGUGGACCCGUGAUCCGGGUUGCGGACAGUGUCUGGUGGGUAGUUUGACUGGGGCGGUCUCCUCCUAAAGAGUAACGGAGGAGCACGAAGGUUGGCUAAUCCUGGUCGGACAUCAGGAGGUUAGUGCAAUGGCAUAAGCCAGCUUGACUGCGAGCGUGACGGCGCGAGCAGGUGCGAAAGCAGGUCAUAGUGAUCCGGUGGUUCUGAAUGGAAGGGCCAUCGCUCAACGGAUAAAAGGUACUCCGGGGAUAACAGGCUGAUACCGCCCAAGAGUUCAUAUCGACGGCGGUGUUUGGCACCUCGAUGUCGGCUCAUCACAUCCUGGGGCUGAAGUAGGUCCCAAGGGUAUGGCUGUUCGCCAUUUAAAGUGGUACGCGAGCUGGGUUUAGAACGUCGUGAGACAGUUCGGUCCCUAUCUGCCGUGGGCGCUGGAGAACUGAGGGGGGCUGCUCCUAGUACGAGAGGACCGGAGUGGACGCAUCACUGGUGUUCGGGUUGUCAUGCCAAUGGCACUGCCCGGUAGCUAAAUGCGGAAGAGAUAAGUGCUGAAAGCAUCUAAGCACGAAACUUGCCCCGAGAUGAGUUCUCCCUGAGACUUAAAGUCUCCUGAAGGAACGUUGAAGACGACGACGUUGAUAGGCCGGGUGUGUAAGCGCAGCGAUGCGUUGAGCUAACCGGUACUAAUGAACCGUGAGGCUUAACCUUACAACGCCGAAG
This 2366-nucleotide ribosomal RNA is filed under the name Salmonella enterica subsp. enterica serovar Dublin. RNAcentral's name for it is "bacterial LSU rRNA". It matches the Rfam family "Bacterial large subunit ribosomal RNA", at positions 593 to 2925 of the family's 2925-position model. Lineage: Bacteria; Pseudomonadati; Pseudomonadota; Gammaproteobacteria; Enterobacterales; Enterobacteriaceae. The record is from RNAcentral.